GUGUGAUACACAGUAUGUGUGUGUAUAAUAAACAGUGUGUAAUGUAUAAUAUACAAUGUGUGUGUGUAUUUUAUACAGUAUGUGUGUAUCAUAUGCACUGUGUGUUACAUGCAGUAUGUGUGUAUUAUGUACGUGUGUAGGGUGUGAGAGGAGCUCAGGGGCCUGUAGGAGGGGCCGGGGGGCCCGGGCUGGUGGGCCUGCUAGGUCUACCUGGAAUGCCUGGACACGCUGGAAGAGUGCAUGUCUUACCAGGGCCGAGGGGUGACAGGGGCAACAUAGGGACCACACACAGCUGUAAUUGUUCACAAGUUCGAUUCCAGGAUCUGUUCACAACACUAGGAGCCAUAGCUGUGGUGCCUACCGUGUACGUGGUGGAGGGCGAGCAGCAGAUGCGCAGCGUUUCCUCUGAGAACGUGAUGGUCAUGAGGAGAGACACCCACAGGCUGCUGCUCUUCUCCAGAGGCCACUGGGUCCCCGUUUCUCCCAGGGCCGGGCCCCCGACACAACACCCCUGACCUGCUCAUGAGCAAGGCACUGCAGUUUCAUGGAGGUAUCUGUCUGUGCUAAUGCUUUGUCCCAAAAAAAUUCAAAUUGUUUAGCUCAGUCACCUGAUAGCCUGUGGUGAGGUAGGUAGGUAGGUAGGUCCAAGCCUGGCUCCAAGCCUGGACCUACUGGGUCUACAUAGCUACUGUGUCUAGGGUACAGCAUCAAUACUGGACCUACUGGGUCUAGGGUACAGCAUCAACACUGGAUAGUGGCAGUUUGAGACUAACUGAAUGCUCACAGCCAAUGAGACUCCAUUGCUUCUCACUUGGUCUGUGUUCAGAAGUCUGGAGCAGCUGUGUGAUGAACCAGGGAUCCUGACUGCUCUAUGCUAGG
Molecule: long non-coding RNA, 879 nt
Filed under: Gadus morhua (Atlantic cod)
Lineage: Eukaryota; Metazoa; Chordata; Actinopteri; Gadiformes; Gadidae
Description: lncRNA (ENSGMOG00000024963.1)
Source: RNAcentral